AACUAAGGAACAACUGUAUGAUAAAGACA
This 29-nucleotide non-coding RNA is filed under the name Cricetulus griseus (Chinese hamster). The record is from RNAcentral. Lineage: Eukaryota; Metazoa; Chordata; Mammalia; Rodentia; Cricetidae.